Tachyglossus aculeatus (Australian echidna) is the source of this 2557-nucleotide long non-coding RNA. RefSeq lists it as uncharacterized. The transcript has 4 exons. Lineage: Eukaryota; Metazoa; Chordata; Mammalia; Monotremata; Tachyglossidae. The record is from RefSeq and is a predicted model, not a curated record.
GAGGUGGAAAAGGAGAACUUGGGCUUGGGUUGUUGCAGGAAGAAAGAGAGAGAGAGAGAGAGAGCACAAAGAGAUAAGACUUGGGUGAAGAGCCUCAUGCUAAUUCCCCCUAAUAAUCCCUAAAAGAGUUUUCACGCUUUUCCGUCCACUCUGCCUGCUCCGCCCUCUCAACCGUGGACAAAGUCAUCAAACCACUCUGUGCCACCUAACCAGAUCGUGCAUCUUAAGAGCCGCUAUGGUUCAGUUUGGAAAUGACAAGAGAGAGAAACGGGGCCAGCCGGCGCAACUCAAGAAACACUCCAGAGAAUGUUCAUCUCCAGAAGAAUAGAGGCUGAAGGAAAAUCAGAUGAUGGUUGGAUUUGGAGAAAAAAAAUCCAGCUACUGGUUAAGAUGAAACUGUUCUGGACCCAAGGCUCAGUCUGGAGCCUCUGGUCCAGGAUUUUGGAGGGCAAGAAAAGAAAAUUUGGUGGGGAGGAGGAGGGAUUUUUCCUGGUGCCAAAUUCUUGAAAAACUUAGCCUCAUGUAAAGCAGCCUCUCCUCCUCAAAGGACAACGAUGGCUCUCCCUCCUUGGGUCUUCAAGGCCCAAGGGGUGAGGAGGGAGAGUGUAGCUUCAGGCCAAACUCUCCUAUUUGAUCCAUCAUCUCCCAUCCUGGCUACUCUGGUGUUUGUGGUGGGGUCGGGGGGAGCCGGGUUCCCAAAGAAACUGUGCAGGGGCAAAGAAGAGGUUCUCUUCUUGCAGAAUCUCUUGAAAAGCACGGUCCCUCUGUCCUAGAAAUCUCCCCAGUUGGUCUUUAUGGCCGCACUUCUGGACCCAGAGAUUAGCCUGACAGACCAUCUGGGAUAUCUCUCUCCUGAGCCUUCUGGUUUUCAGAGAGGGUAGACCUGCUCCAUUUUGACCAUGAAGGCUCAUUUUCCAUGUGAAUCAAUUAUCCAGUUUGACAGGGAAAUACCUUUCAAAAUUCUAUAGUGUUUCAUCAGGAUGACAGUUUCUAACCCGUAUGACGAAAGCACAUCGGAGAGAACUCCUUGACCUUCUCUAGAUCCUGGUUGACCAACUCCAUGGUCAAUGGAAUGUUAUUUUUCUCACAUUCAAGUGAUAUGAAACAACUAAGAGAUUUGCUCAAUCCAUCCCACCAGCAUUUUAAAAGUCAAUAAAAUAGCUAUAUAAAAUAAAAAUAAAUGCAAAGCGCAACUCCCGGCAGGAGAAUAAAAUACAAUAAAAUAGUUUAAAAUUAAAGUAAAUAUUAAAAUCACUGACAUAUAAAAUAAUUGACAUAUAAAUACGCGGCACACUCAUUCCAUUGAACGUGGACGUCUGGGAUAUCUUCGGAUUUGCCCAAAAAAAGAAAAAUAUUCCACGCAUUCGAAGUCCCCAAACGGCGAGGUUUAUCUCUGCCUUUUCUAACGUGAUUAGGUGAAUGGCUUUAUGAACUCAUACUGACUGUAACACUAUAGACCCACCCCAAAACGUCAAGGCACAAUUAAUUCAGUGCAAUUUCCAAUCAACUGGACUUCAUAUGCUUGGUUUAAGAAUGUCUGACACAUUGAGUGUUUUGUUCUCAAGGUUUUGAGUCAGUACAGAUUCGGGAGCUGCUAUUCUGGACUGGAUCUUGCCUGGAUGAGGUAGGUCCCGGUAGGAGCAGAGGUAAGUGCCAUCCGGAUGAUAGAAAAAUAUAUCAGUCCGUCCCCGUGAAGGGUGGGUGGAAGGGCCAUCCUUCCUCUUGGUGGCUCUGGGAGCUGGCAAGUGUUGCCUCAGUGAAUGUCGGCGUCUUUACCCCUGUGUUAACUUUUCCGCUUCAGAAUCUGCCGGUAGGAUAUUUGUUCCCCACACACAGGGAGGAGAGGAUCAGUGUUCCUAGAUGCGGGGGAAACGACGAGGUGAAGGUGCCGCGGACAAAGAAGGACAAUUCACGGGAUCGUGGCCGCCGUCCCUGCUGCCCCUCAUUGCAGGGCGGUGGGGGGAAGCAGGGACAUCUCGGUGAGAGGGUCCCGGGGGAAGAGGGAGGCGACGGACCGGGCCUGAGGAGGUGGGACGGAGGGUGGAAGCCCACUGCGGCACUGCCACUAGGUGCCCCCUGAUCUCCUCAGUGGGAGACCCACUGCAGGGGGGACAGUGGCAGUGCAGGGGAGGGUGGGGCAGGGAGGAGGGUGUUGCUGGGGACCCCUUCUCUAUCAUUUCCUCUAUUCACGUCCGCUCCCUUUUCCCCGGCCACUUCCCUUUCUCCUCCUUCCCUUUCUCCCCUAAAAUAAAAGUUAAAAAGUUUGUUUCCACAGCACCCCAGCAUUCGAGGACCACAGUCCAUUGGGGGACCCCAGAUCUCCAGCCGAGCCGGCUCUAUCCUCUUCCUGGGCUUUCAGCGGCCCGAAGGACUCAGGGCUGCAUCCUGAGGACCCCAGCCCUCUGGCCCAGCCAGCUCUGCACUUCCUCCUGGACUCUGCACCGACCGCCUUGGGAAAACGAUCCUGAAGCACUCCAGACUGCAUCCUGUGGACCCCAGCCCUCCAGCCCAGCCAGCUCUGACUUCCCCCUGGACUCCCAACUGCCUGCCCACCCCC